UGGCGGCGUGCCUAACACAUGCAAGUCGAACGUCUUCUCUCGGUUCGCUGAGAGAGGGAGUGGCGGACGGGUGAGUAACACGUGGGUGAUCUACCAUCGGGUGAGGAAUACCGGCGAGAAAUCGCCGACAAGACCGCAUAGGCUUGCUUUUGCGAGCAAGCAAAGUCGCAAGACGCCUGAUGAUGAGCCUGCGCCCGAUUAGCUGGUUGGUGAGGUAAGAGCUCUCCAAGGCGACCAUCGGUAGCUGGUCUGAGAGGAUGAGCAGCCACACUGGGAUUGAGAACGGCCCAGACUCCUACGGGGGGCAGCAGUGAGGAAUUUUCCGCAAUGGAGGCAACUCUGACGGAGCAACGCCGCGUGCUGGAUGACGGUCUUCGGAUUGUAAACAGCUUUUCUUGGGGACGAGUAUCGGACGGUACCCGAGGAAGAAGCCCCGGCUAACUACGUGCCAGCAGCCGCGGUAAUACGUAGGGGGCAAGCGUUGUCCGGAGUUACUGGGCGUAAAGCGCUCGCAGGCGGUGCGCUACGUCCCUUCUGCCAGCUCGUCGCUUCACGACGGGAAUGCGAGGGAA
This 572-nucleotide ribosomal RNA is filed under the name uncultured bacterium. RNAcentral describes it as "bacterial SSU rRNA". It matches the Rfam family "Bacterial small subunit ribosomal RNA", at positions 37 to 631 of the family's 1533-position model. The record is from RNAcentral.